RNAcentral lists this long non-coding RNA (502 nucleotides) under Elaeis guineensis (African oil palm). RNAcentral describes it as "long non-coding RNA (EGUI_LNC009846)". Lineage: Eukaryota; Viridiplantae; Streptophyta; Magnoliopsida; Arecales; Arecaceae. The record is from RNAcentral.
CAGCAAGAAGAGGAUAAGUCACUAUCCAACUACAUCACAUACUUCAAUGCCACCAUGUUUGAGAUGUCGAGCUUUGACAAGUAGUCGGUGGCAAUGUCAGCACUUAAGCGAAGACUGUGAAAUAAGCGCCUUGUCUUUUUCCUCGACAAGAAAUUUUCGAUGGAUUAUGCUGACCUACUAGCCCGAGCUUGGAAGUAUGCUCAGGUAGAAGAAGCUCGAGAAUUCCAUAGGUAGGCUGAGAGAAAGAUUAUCUCCAAUAAGAAGAGGAAUUGGAAAGAUCCCCCAGUAGCUCAGACUGAGGGGGAGUCUUCUUGACCACAAAAGAGCUAUCAUCUGAGGAGUCCUCCCAGUGGUUUGAUAGUUACACUCCUUUGUCCAUCUCUCGAUCUCAAAUUUUGAUGGAGAUCGAGGGUCAAGGAUAUCUGCAAUGGCUUGGACCAAUGAAGUCUCCUCUAGAUAGGAGUAAGAGGAAGUACUACCACUUCUAUCACAAUCACGGCCA